Molecule: long non-coding RNA, 726 nt
Filed under: Lonchura striata (white-rumped munia)
Lineage: Eukaryota; Metazoa; Chordata; Aves; Passeriformes; Estrildidae
Description: domestica (Bengalese finch) lncRNA (ENSLSDG00000011096.1)
Source: RNAcentral
AAAGAGCUGUAAACAGCAGCAAGAGAGGAUUAAUUAUUUUAGUUCAGUGAAGUUGUCUCCUUGGAUACCAUUCAGGUGACUUCCACCAUUGUUCAUGUGAAGUGACCAGGAACAUGAGCAUCAGGAUAAUAAAUACCUGUGUUCCAGAUUAACUGCUGUGAAUGUUCCAAACUCCAUGUUCUGCCCCAUGAGAAGCAGAGAAAUGCCAUGCAUUUUCAGUUGUCAUCUGAGAGGGAUCCUACACACUGGCUCUGGGAAGGAAACUGCCUUUGGUUAGAGCAACUUGUGUCUGGACUCAAAUGGACACUUUACAGAACAGAGGUAUCCAAAGACAGGGUGCAAGCAGAAGAAAGCAUCAUGGAGCUGCAAAUAUGGUUCCAGCAGAAUAUUAGGUGCUUUGUACAGGAGUCAUUCAAAAUGUCAUUGACUAUCAGCUCUCUCUCUCUCUGUGUUACUUCCACAGUCAUGUCUUCUCAGAGCUGCCAUGCCUCGUGUGAUAACUAGUAUGGUAAGUACAGUUCCUCUGCUUCAGCAAACACCAGCAGUAGCCCCUGAUCAGACUGAGCCAUUGGGAGACAGAGCAUGCUGCAGCCAUCCCACCAAACCUGCUCGGUGGGAUGGCACAAGCACUUAACAGAAUAAGAAAGUUGGUCUUCGUGUCCUUCCCCUGUGGCCACAAACGUGAUCUGAGACAUGCCCCUCUCCAUUCUGCUGCUGUGUACCUUC